Molecule: ribosomal RNA, 499 nt
Filed under: uncultured bacterium
Lineage: Bacteria
Description: bacterial SSU rRNA
Rfam family: Bacterial small subunit ribosomal RNA
Source: RNAcentral
GAUGAACGCUAGCGGCAGGCCUAAUACAUGCAAGACGAACGGUAAGUUGAGUAGCAAUAUUUAGCCAAGAGUGUCGUACGGGUGCGUAACACGUAUGCAACCUACCCUAUACAGGGGGAUAGCCUAGGGAAACCUGGAUUAACCCUUCAUAGUAUUAUUGGAUGGCAUCAUUUGAUAAUUAAAACUGAGGUGGUAUAGGAUGGGCAUGCGUCUGAUUAGUUAGUUGGCGGGGUAAUGGCCCACCAAGACGAUGAUCAGUAGGGGUUCUGAGAGGAAGAUCCCCCACACUGGCACUGAGAUACGGGCCAGACUCCUACGGGAGCAGCAGUAGGGAAUAUUGGUCAAUGGAUGCAAGUCUGAACCAGCCAUGCCGCGUGCAGGAAGAAGGCCUUCUGGGUUGUAAACUGCUUUUGCCAGGGGAUGAAAUUUCCAUGCGUGGAAAACUGAAGGUACCUGGUGAAUAAGCCACGGCUAACUACGUGCCAGCAGCCGCGGUAAU